ACCCGCUGAACUUAAGCAUAUCAAUAAGCGGAGGAAAAGAAACCAACAGGGAUUGCCCUAGUAACGGCGAGUGAAGCGGCAACAGCUCAAAUUUGAAAUCUGGCUUCGGCCCGAGUUGUAAUUUGUAGAGGAUGCUUUUGGUGAGGUGCCUUCUGAGUUCCCUGGAACGGGACGCCAUAGAGGGUGAGAGCCCCGUAUAGUCGGACACCGAACCUUUGUAAAGCUCCUUCGACGAGUCGAGUAGUUUGGGAAUGCUGCUCAAAAUGGGAGGUAUAUCUCUUCUAAAGCUAAAUAUAGGCCAGAGACCGAUAGCGCACAAGUAGAGUGAUCGAAAGAUGAAAAGCACUUUGAAAAGAGGGUUAAAUAGCACGUGAAAUUGUUGAAAGGGAAGCGCUUGUGACCAGACUUGUGCCGGGUUGAUCAUCCAGUGUUCUCACUGGUGCACUCUGCCCGGCUCAGGCCAGCGUCGGUUUUCGUAGGGGGAUAAAAGCUUCGGGAACGUGGCUCCUCCGGGAGUGUUAUAGCCCGUUGCUUAAUACCCCUACGGGGACCGAGGUUCGCGCUCUGCAAGGACGCUGGCAUAAUGGUCACCAGCGACCCGUCUUGAAACACGG
Molecule: ribosomal RNA, 614 nt
Filed under: uncultured fungus
Lineage: Eukaryota; Fungi
Description: LSU rRNA
Rfam family: Eukaryotic large subunit ribosomal RNA
Source: RNAcentral